Molecule: long non-coding RNA, 646 nt
Organism: Silurus meridionalis
Lineage: Eukaryota; Metazoa; Chordata; Actinopteri; Siluriformes; Siluridae
Exons: 3
Source: RefSeq, a predicted model, not a curated record
GGGGCUCUUUAAGAGAUGCUUGGUGACAUCAUCGCGUGUGCGUGUGGCACGGUGCACCUGAGAGUGGAAAUCAGGAAGGGAUAUAGGCCUCACUUGUACUGUUUACUAGGUAAAGGAUCCAGUAUCAUCCAUUUUAAAGUAAAUUUAAAAAAGGAUCACAAAUGUCUUAGCUGUGUUGUUUUAUUAGGGUGAUGUAUGUCUGCAGUAAUUUCUGCAGAUGCACAAAUUUCGAGGUGUGACGGUUAGCAUAGCGUGAGCUAACGCAUCAGCACGUGCAAGCCAUACGAGUUCUGUUGGUGUGUUCGGCCUAUCGGAGCAUAAAUAGCACUGAAGGCUAAGUUUGGAAAAAUUGCCACUGCCGUAUUUUUGUUUACUGGAUAAAAUUUUGGGUUUAUUGUUUUAUAUAUUGCACACCAAAAAGACAGAUUCUGUACAUCAGGCAGUACUUUAUUUUAAUUUUAUGAUAUUUAAUUUUUGUGUUUAAAAAUAUUUGUCCUGUAAUUUUGUUUUAUUUAGCUCCUUAUUUAUCUUCUUCCACAUAAAAUUAACAAGCAGGAUAUAUAUUGUUAAUUGGAAUAAAGAACCCCAGUGGAAUUUGUUCGUCUUCUGCGUAUCAUUGCAACGGCCACAUUAAUUAUUUGCAUUA